GUCAAAUUGAUCAGUUAUAGAUAAUAUUGAUCAGUUAUACAUAAUAUUGAUCAGUUAUAGGUCAAAUUGAUCAGUUAUAGAUAAUAUUGAUCAAUUAUAGAUAAUAUUGAUCAGUUAUAGAUAAUAUUGAUCAGUUAUAGAUAAUAUUGAUCCAUUUUAUUAUUUUAUAAUAAGAAAUUGCACAGUGUGUGUGGACUCUAAACAGAGCCCACCGGGCACACACUGGUUGAAUCAAUGUUGUUUCCAUGUAAUUUCAAUGAAAUCGGGAGGGAAGGAAAGGAAGUGAAAGAGAGAGAGAGGGAAAGAGAGGGAGAGGCCCCUUUAUUUGUCUAUCUAUGUCAAGGUGUGUCCUUGAGUCCAUCUGUGGGCUGGGCUAUGAGCAGAAGGGGUGGAGGACAGGACAGGACGGCACUCAACUCUAAUGCGCAUGUUCAUGCUUGUAUGUGUGUGUCCUUGUGCCUGUGUGUGCGUGUGUGUGUGUUACGGUAUUUAUGCCAGCUUGUAAGAGCUUAGUUUGCACAUUAUUAAAGCACACCCAGCACAGUGUACUUAUCAGUUAUCAGAGCCCAUGGGUAAACUAAAUAGAUACGGUUGGCCUUAGGAGAAACUGAAUCGAGAAAUGUUUGCACAGAACCUGAAGUGUGGUUGGGUUGAUUUCAAGAAACCUGGCAGGACCAGCCCUAGUGUUCACACGCACGCACGCAC
This 705-nucleotide long non-coding RNA is filed under the name Salmo salar (Atlantic salmon). RNAcentral's name for it is "lncRNA (ENSSSAG00000112492.1)". The record is from RNAcentral. Lineage: Eukaryota; Metazoa; Chordata; Actinopteri; Salmoniformes; Salmonidae.